This 492-nucleotide ribosomal RNA is filed under the name uncultured bacterium. RNAcentral describes it as "partial 16S ribosomal RNA". It matches the Rfam family "Bacterial small subunit ribosomal RNA", at positions 29 to 507 of the family's 1533-position model. The record is from RNAcentral.
AGUGAACGCUGGCGGUAGGCCUAACACAUGCAAGUCGAACGGCAGCACAGUAAGAGCUUGCUCUUACGGGUGGCGAGUGGCGGACGGGUGAGGAAUACAUCGGAAUCUACUUUUUCGUGGGGGAUAACGUAGGGAAACUUACGCUAAUACCGCAUACGACCUACGGGUGAAAGCAGUGGAUCUUCGUACCUUUCGCGAUUGAAUGAGCCGAUGUCGGAUUAGCUAGUUGGCGGGGUAAAGGCCCACCAAGGCGACGAUCCGUAGCUGGUCUGAGAGGAUGAUCAGCCACACUGGAACUGAGACACGGUCCAGACUCCUACGGGAGGCAGCAGUGGGGAAUAUUGGACAAUGGGCGCAAGCCUGAUCCAGCCAUACCGCGUGGGUGAAGAAGGCCUUCGGGUUGUAAAGCCCUUUUGUUGGGAAAGAAAAGCAGCAGGUUAAUACCCCGCUGUUCUGACGGUACCCAAAGAAUAAGCACCGGCUAACUUCGUG